This 253-nucleotide ribosomal RNA is filed under the name uncultured bacterium. Its description in RNAcentral is "partial 16S ribosomal RNA". It matches the Rfam family "Bacterial small subunit ribosomal RNA", at positions 524 to 776 of the family's 1533-position model. The record is from RNAcentral.
UACGUAGGGUGCAAGCGUUGUCCGGAAUUAUUGGGCGUAAAGAGCUCGUAGGCGGUUUGUUGCGUCGGCUGUGAAAUCCCGAGGCUCAACCUCGGGUCUGCAGUCGAUACGAGCAAACUAGAGUGUUGCAGGGGAGACUGGAAUUCCUGGUGUAGCGGUGAAAUGCGCAGAUAUCAGGAGGAACACCGGUGGCGAAGGCGGGUCUCUGGGCAACAACUGACGCUCAUGCACGAAAGCGUGGGGAGCAAACAGG